RNAcentral lists this ribosomal RNA (407 nucleotides) under Acidobacteriota bacterium. Its description in RNAcentral is "Acidobacteria bacterium partial 16S ribosomal RNA". It matches the Rfam family "Bacterial small subunit ribosomal RNA", at positions 355 to 776 of the family's 1533-position model. The record is from RNAcentral. Lineage: Bacteria; Pseudomonadati; Acidobacteriota.
UGGGGAAUAUUGGGCAAUGGGCGCAAGCCUGACCCAGCAACGCCGCGUGAAGGAAGAAGGCUUUCGGGUUGUAAACUUCUUUUGUCGGGGACGAAACAAAUGACGGUACCCGACGAAUAAGCCACGGCUAACUACGUGCCAGCAGCCGCGGUAAUACGUAGGUGGCAAGCGUUAUCCGGAUUUACUGGGUGUAAAGGGCGUGUAGGCGGGAUUGCAAGUCAGAUGUGAAAACUGGGGGCUCAACCUCCAGCCUGCAUUUGAAACUGUAGUUCUUGAGUGCUGGAGAGGCAAUCGGAAUUCCGUGUGUAGCGGUGAAAUGCGUAUAUAUACGGAGGAACACCAGUGGCGAAGGCGGAUUGCUGGACAGUAACUGACGCUGAGGCGCGAAAGCGUGGGGAGCAAACAGG